GGAUGUCUGGUCGUACAGGAAAGGGCAGGGGCGACUCCCCACUCUUCAAGACCCUAGAACUUCACUAAUCUUGCAAAUUGAAGGUCCAAUUCAGUCCAAAAUCGAAAUUUAAGCAUGGAUUAUUGAUCCUCAUCACAAGAGGAUUAAAAGUUUGAUCUCGUCAAGCUAAGUGGGAGCUGGAAAGGAAUGGAUCAAACGGAUCAUGGAUGCGAAGAAUGUUUGCGCGGACGCGAGGGUAAAACGGCUUAUGGAAUUUACGUGGCUAUGAAUCAGCAAAUUAUUAAGGCAAGGUAUUAAAACGGGUCAAUACUUUGACCCGCGCCAGGUUCAUUUUGGAUGCCGAGAGACGAUCAAGCUCAUCGAAGAACCGAACACGAUAUAGUUACAUGCUUCCGCACUUUGCCACGUUGUAUAUUUUAAACAACGAAUUCGAUCACGUUUUGUAGAAUAACUUAUGAAUUGUAAAAGUUUUAAUUUACUCGAAAUUUUCUAAGGAUACUUAACCUUAAAUACAUGUUUGUUUUCGUAAAUUAUACGAAAACCUUUA
Molecule: long non-coding RNA, 547 nt
Filed under: Helianthus annuus (common sunflower)
Lineage: Eukaryota; Viridiplantae; Streptophyta; Magnoliopsida; Asterales; Asteraceae
Description: sRNA HanXRQr2_Chr16g0771761
Source: RNAcentral